UAUGAAAAAGAAAACAAAGAAUCGAACACAUCCUUUAGUUCAGCACCAAGCAGGGAAACUGAGAUGCUAGCAAUGAAUCCAUGCACACAACACAUAAUUAUGAACAUAUGCUGAAAUCAAUUUUAUUUCAAUCUUCAAAACACAGAAUUUACAGGGUUACAUCCUUUUGUUCAGGCAUUACACACAUAGGGCACAAUUGCCAUUAGCAUUACACAGAUCACCAACUCGAGUCCUACAAAUAGAUCACCAAAACAACACUGAACCCUGCACUUUCAAGACACACAGAAGGCUCAACUCGAGCACUGAAAUAGGCAGCACUGGCAACACAGCUUUGAGCAUGGCCGGGCAGCCUCCGACACGGCGUCGUGGCGGGCGAGGUUGAUCCUGGUCGUGGCAGGCGAAGUGGAGGCAGGUCGCGUGGCCCAGCGCGGAGCAGUCUGGUAAUCGACCUCGGCGUCGGGGUACAGUUCAAGGAGAGGCGGGUCACCGCGGCCCAGCGCGGCGCAGCCUGUGAGCGGUCGGCGUGAGCAGGCUAGAGGAGGGCAAGAGCGCAAGGGGCUCCUCCUCCUCCGGGGGUGCUCCUGCAGGGCGACUCCUCCGGCGACCGCCUGGCAGACUCGCGGUGCAGGAGAGGCGGCGGCCGACGUGAACGGGCCGGUGGAGGGGGCGCGCGCAAGGGGCAACUCCUCCUCUGGGGGCGCGCGCAAGGGGACGGCUCCUCCGGGGCGCUCCUCCUCUGGGGGCGCUCCUCCUCUGGCCGCCUGGAACGGAGCAGCGAUGACCGAGAAGAAAGAGCGACGGGAAAGAAAGAUAGGGUCACGACAGGGGGGAAAGGAAGAUGGUUUUUUUUUUAAAACGGACUGAGGGCUGGCGGGCGUUUAUUUAUAAAAUUACUCCACCUCUCUCCGUAACCACUGGAUCUCAGAUCGAUGGUUUGAAACAGAAGUUUCCAAGGUUGGUUUGCAUACGAUACGGACCCAACUUACACAAACUAAGUUACACAACAUAACUUCAAAAGAAUAAGUUUAGCGUGCUAAGUUCUAGAAUAUUCUCUUUAGGUUUCAUCAGCAUUUUCUUUCCAUUUGAGAAACUAAUCAUUUAUAACUCUAUACAUUAUGUUAAUCAACUAAGUUAAUCAUACAUAACUCUAUACAGUAAGUUAAUCAAAUAAGUUAGGAUACAUACACAUAAAAGUACAUAUAACUCGAACAAUAAGUUAACCAAAUAAGUUACAUAGCAUACACAUGAAAAGAUAGGUUACAUACAUAACUAUAUACAAUAAGUUAAUCAAAUAAGUAUACAAUAUACAAAUGAAAACACAAGUUAGAUACAUAACUCUGUAUAAUAAUUUAAUCAAAUAACUUAGAUAGCAUACACAUGAAAAAGACAGAUUACAUACAUAACUCUGUAUAAUUAAGUUAAUCAACUAAGUUAUAUAGCAUACACAUAAAACAAAUGUUGGAUACAUAUAACUCUGUACAAUAAGUUAAUCAAAUAGUUUGAUAGCAUACACAUAAAAACACAAGUUAGAUAUAUAACUUUGUAUAAUAAGUUAAUUAACUAAAUUAGGUAGCAUACAUAUGAAAAAACAAGUUAUAUACAUAACUUUAUAUAAUUUAUAGUCAUUAGAUUAAGUAAAAUAGGAAGAAGAGAAAAGGUGAACGAAGGGAUCAAAAUAGUGCAAAUAAAAUUAAAUUGAUUAACAUAUAAAAGAAUAAAAAUAUAAAAGGAAAAAAAGAAAAUAUAUAAAAAAAGAUAAAGAUGAACGCACUUGUGGUAGCGCAUGUUCGGUGGAAGAAUAAAUGUGACGUACCUACAACAGCACACGUCCAUCUCAGGAUCGUUCGCUCAAAUGAAAAGGAGUGAACGCUCGCGGGAAUGGAUUUGUGGUAAAAAUGUUUUGUAGGCAUGCUGCAGAGGAAAAAAUGUGGAAAAAGGAAAGCCAUGGUUUCCUGUCUUGUGUAUAUUUAUUUGAGUUCAGAGAAUGAACUCAGGGACACUGCAUAUAUGUCUUUCUCUUCCUCCAAUCAUAUAUGAGCUUCAUUUGACAUAGUUUCAUUUUGUUAGUUAAGUUUUUUUUUAAAAAAAAAAAAAGAGUCCACUCUACCAGUGAAAAUAGAGAUGUUUUGGUAAACCGUUUGAUAAAACAACUUUAAAUAUGAAAACAUAUUCUCACAGAAUUCGAAGCAGGACUCACUAUAGCAUGUUUGAGCUAAAUGCAUGUUUUAGGGCACUCCUAAUGCAAAACUCUAUCAUGAAAUCCAAGACAAUUAAUUACAUAUUAUUUAUAGUAUUUUGCUGAUGUGGCACCAUAUUUAUUGAAGAAAGAGGUAGAAAAAAUAAGACUCCAAGUCUUAUUUAGACUCCAAGUCUACAUUGUUCGAGGUAAUAAAUAACUUUAGACUCCAUAAUAGAGUCUGCAUUGUGAGUGCCUUUAGAGAGAUUCU
This 2447-nucleotide long non-coding RNA is filed under the name Sorghum bicolor (sorghum). Its description in RNAcentral is "long non-coding RNA (SBIC_LNC018317)". Lineage: Eukaryota; Viridiplantae; Streptophyta; Magnoliopsida; Poales; Poaceae. The record is from RNAcentral.